RNAcentral lists this long non-coding RNA (588 nucleotides) under Setaria italica (foxtail millet). RNAcentral describes it as "long non-coding RNA (SITA_LNC002022)". Lineage: Eukaryota; Viridiplantae; Streptophyta; Magnoliopsida; Poales; Poaceae. The record is from RNAcentral.
CUAAAGGUACCUGGCAUCACUAUGAGAAAAAUAAGCAAAAUAUCUAAAGAAAAAAAAUACAUGUUAUUAUUACCUAUUACUACGAUAGCUGAAAUCAUACUAGCCGCGCUAUUAGCGUGGGCCGCCUUGCUAGUUGAAUACCCUUGACUGUAAGUAGGCCCGCCCCUGUAUAAUAGAAUUCAAAAACAUUUGUGACGGUAACAAGAUGCUUGAGUACAUGUAGCUCUAGCUGAUAAAUGUGACAAUAAUACUAGACCACGUACAACAGACCAAAAAACACAGAAACACCAGCUCAUUCAGAGCACACUAUAGGUGAACCGUUCAAAAAUAAAAUAACACACAGAUAAACAGGAGGUGCUUAAUGUAACGAGACAUACGGUAGGUCAUCAUCAGCUCAGCAAGAGCCGGCUUGGCCGUGCCAGUUGCCAACAGAAUGACAGAAUUGGUUGGCCAUGUUGCAUUGAGAGCGUCAGCUCUUCAAUUCCUCCUCUUCCUAGCGCAGCUAGCUAGUAGUGAUGCUGCGGGUCCGGGCCGCCGGGCACGCUCCUCUUUUCUCCGCCGAGCACCCUUCCCCUGUUCCACUUCGAC